RNAcentral lists this ribosomal RNA (611 nucleotides) under Apteroloma tahoecum. Its description in RNAcentral is "eukaryotic LSU rRNA". It matches the Rfam family "Eukaryotic large subunit ribosomal RNA", at positions 689 to 1262 of the family's 3401-position model. The record is from RNAcentral. Lineage: Eukaryota; Metazoa; Arthropoda; Insecta; Coleoptera; Agyrtidae.
AGUCUUGGGAUUAUUAAUGAAACCUAAAGGCGAAAUGAAAGUGAAGAUCUCUUGAGAUCAAGGGAGGAUGGGGCACGUCACGGCGUGCCUCCGCACUCCCGGGGCGUCUCGUUCUCAUUGCGAGAUGAGGCGCACCUAGAGCGUAUACGCUGCAACCCGAAAGAUGGUGAACUAUGCGUGGUCAGGACGAAGUCAGGGGAAACCCUGAUGGAGGUCCGUAGCGAUUCUGACGUGCAAAUCGAUCGUCGGAACUGCGUAUAGGGGCGAAAGACCAAUCGAACCAUCUAGUAGCUGGUUCCCUCCGAAGUUUCCCUCAGGAUAGCUGGCGCUCGUAUUUACGAGUUUCAUCCGGUAAAGCGAAUGAUUAGAGGCAUUGGGGUCGAAACGGCCUCAACCUAUUCUCAAACUUUAAAUGGGUGAGAUCUCCGGCUUGCUUAAAUGCUGAAGCUGCGAGAAUUUUGAAUCAGAGUGCCAAGUGGGCCACUUUUGGUAAGCAGAACUGGCGCUGUGGGAUGAACCAAACGCAGAGUUAAAGCGCCAAAAUCGACGCUUAUGGGAUACCAUGAAAGGCGUUGGUAACUUAAGACAGCAGAAGGGUGACCAUGGAAGUC